This is a small nuclear RNA of Physeter macrocephalus (sperm whale), 104 nucleotides long. NCBI's taxonomy places the organism in Eukaryota, Metazoa, Chordata, Mammalia, Artiodactyla, Physeteridae. The record is from Ensembl.
AUGCUCGCUUUGGCAGCACAUAUACUAAAAUUGGAAUACAGAGAAGAUUAGCAUGGUCCCUGCACAAGGAUGACACGCAAAUACGUGAAGCAUUCCAUAUUUUA